AUUCUUGUUCCGUACCACCCACCCACCAUCCGAUAUAGGGUGCUGGUGAUGAAUAAGACCCGUGCGAUACCCAAUCGAGACAAACACCGUGUGCGCUACACGAAUAAACGACAAGUUGAUUCAUAUCGAGCCCUGAAGAAGAUCCCAACAACUGGAUCGAAACGUUGGCAAUGAUUUAAAAUAAUCAACGCUUAAUUCGUGACUGAAAGCCGAAAUCCAAUUAUCAU
RNAcentral lists this long non-coding RNA (227 nucleotides) under Aedes aegypti (yellow fever mosquito). Its description in RNAcentral is "lncRNA AAEL022086". Lineage: Eukaryota; Metazoa; Arthropoda; Insecta; Diptera; Culicidae. The record is from RNAcentral.